AGCGCAGGUGGUUUCUUAAGUCUGACGUAAAAGGCAGUGGCUCAACCAUUGUGUGCAUUGGAAACUGGGAGACUUGAGUGCAGGAGAGGAGAGUGGAAUUCCAUGUGUAGCGGUGAAAUGCGUAGAUAUAUGGAGGAACACCGGAGGCGAAAGCGGCUCUCUGGCCUGUAACUGACGCUCAUGCACGAAAGCUGGGAGCAAAC
RNAcentral lists this ribosomal RNA (203 nucleotides) under uncultured bacterium. Its description in RNAcentral is "partial 16S ribosomal RNA". It matches the Rfam family "Bacterial small subunit ribosomal RNA", at positions 568 to 773 of the family's 1533-position model. The record is from RNAcentral.